Neogale vison (American mink) is the source of this 279-nucleotide long non-coding RNA. RefSeq lists it as uncharacterized. The transcript has 2 exons. The record is from RefSeq and is a predicted model, not a curated record. NCBI's taxonomy places the organism in Eukaryota, Metazoa, Chordata, Mammalia, Carnivora, Mustelidae.
CGUGGAAGGCGGAGGCCGGGGACAUUUUAUUAACUCACAGGCCGCGUGGGCCCCCGCCCAAGACUCAGUGUCCUUGCAAGAAGAGCGCCAGAGCACAUGCUGCCCCACACGCUCCGAAUCCCAACAGAAAUCAAAGAAGAGGCCAUGUGAGUGGACAGAAGGUAGCCCUGGACAAGCCAGGAAGAGAGAACUUUCACCAGAAACCAGACCCUGUGGGAACGCGAUCUCAGACGUGGGGCGUCCAGAAGGCGAGAAAUAAAUUUCCGCUGAGUAAAGGCA